Molecule: ribosomal RNA, 360 nt
Filed under: uncultured Lactobacillus sp.
Lineage: Bacteria; Bacillati; Bacillota; Bacilli; Lactobacillales; Lactobacillaceae
Description: bacterial SSU rRNA
Rfam family: Bacterial small subunit ribosomal RNA
Source: RNAcentral
GAAGUUUAAAAGGACGGCGUAAAGCUGUCGCUAAAAGGGAUGGGACCUGCGAUGCAUUAGCUAGUUGGUAAGGUAACAGGCUUACCAAGGCGAUGAUGCAUAGCCCGAGUUGAGAGACUGAUCGGGCCACAUUGGGACUGAGACACGGGCCAAACUCCUACGGGAGGCAGCAGUAGGGGAAUCUUCCACAAUGGACGAAAAGUCUGAUGGAGCAAACGCCGCGUGAGUGAAGAAGGUUUUCGGAUCGUAAAAAGCUCUGUUGUUGGUGAAGAAGGAUAGAGGUAGUAACUGGCCCUUUAUUUGACGGUAAUCAACCCAGAAAGUCACGGGCUAACUACGUGCCCAGCAGCCGCGGUAAAU